This 465-nucleotide ribosomal RNA is filed under the name uncultured bacterium. Its description in RNAcentral is "bacterial SSU rRNA". It matches the Rfam family "Bacterial small subunit ribosomal RNA", at positions 917 to 1382 of the family's 1533-position model. The record is from RNAcentral.
GGGCCCGCACAAGCGGAGGAACAUGUGGUUUAAUUCGAUGAUACGCGAGGAACCUUACCCGGGCUCGAACGGUGCAUGAAUAAUACAGAGAUGGAUUAGUCCUUCGGGACAUGUAUCGAGGUGCUGCAUGGUUGUCGUCAGCUCGUGCCGUGAGGUGUCGGCUUAAGUGCCAUAACGAGCGCAACCCUUGUCAUUAGUUACCAUCAGGUCAAGCUGGGGACUCUAGUGAGACUGCCACCGUAAGGUGUGAGGAAGGGGGGGAUGACGUCAAAUCAGCACGGCCCUUAUGUCCGGGGCGACACACGUGUUACAAUGGGAGGUACAGAGGGCAGCCAGUUAGUGAUAACGCGCCAAUCUCAAAAACCUUUCUCAGUUCGGAUUGGAGUCUGCAACUCGACUCCAUGAAGUUGGAUUCGCUAGUAAUCGCGCAUCAGCCAUGGCGCGGUGAAUACGUUCCCGGGCCUU